This 4079-nucleotide long non-coding RNA is filed under the name Olea europaea subsp. europaea. The record is from RNAcentral. Lineage: Eukaryota; Viridiplantae; Streptophyta; Magnoliopsida; Lamiales; Oleaceae.
CUCGUACGACGGUUUCUUUCAAUUUUUCCAUUUCCUUUCUCUCAUUCUGAAUCUGAGAGAGUAAUCCACAAAGCCACAAAUUUAUACUUCAUUACAGUGGAUCAUUGCUUUCAAACCUAUACUGUCAGCCUUGUGUAAUCGCCUUUUUCUGUGUCUUAAUCGGUCAAAAGCUUGUGAUAUCCAGAGCUCGCUUGAUUGCUGAAACAUUUUCUUUAAUAUAUUUGUUCUGGGCAGCCCUUCUUACUUUAGAGGUAGGAUAAUUUACAUGGGUAUCUUCUAUUUGAUGUACUUUUUAUUUUCUUUUAGAAAUUUAACACCGUUGUUGGCUUGGAUUUAAUGGCAUUUGCUAUUUCAUUGACUUUUUUAUUGAUUUGUUCUAUUAGUACAGCAAUUGUAUGGUUUAAUUUUAUUUUUUGUUUAAUUUGAUUGGCGGCACGUGAUUCCCUGACCUCCAUUGAGUUUAGUGUGUGUGAAUAUUUCUGUCGUGUUAAAUGAACUGCUUUUGAUUCCUUUUUUUUUUUUUCGUCGUAUAAGUUAAAGUUUGUUUUAAAGAGAUCAGGUAGUAUUAGAUGCAUAGAUUAAUUUGGAAAAUUCUUUUAUGAAUUCAUGAAAUGCAAGAUGAAAUUGUAUUUCCGAAAUGAAAACUUUGGCUCUUGACUCGUGUUUAUUCUGUUUUAGUUGAAACAAUUGAUGGGAAGAAUUCAAGGAUGUGUAAAUAUGGCAUGCGGAUUGGUGUGUCAUGUGUGUAUCAUGUUCUAAUCUUACUCUGACAUAUUUACAUUUUGUUGAUCUUGCCAAUGUGGCAUAACCCAAGAUCAAGAACCAAAAGCUGAGAAUGAUAACUCGUAGGUCCAUUUGAAUCCGGGCCAUUGUAUGGGAAGAUUUGUGCACUCUCACGUAUCACAAAUUCACUAGUAGUUGCAAACGUGCACAAGAAAGCCAUACAUAUGUACACCUGUGCUUACAUUAUCCUAUCUCAAACCAUGUUGCAAAAUUUUUAUUUCUUUCUUGAUGUUUGUCUUGAAGGGCUUUUGAGUCAUGAUUAACAAUUAGCACUUAAAUGCCAAUAGACAUCCAAAUUGUACUCUGUUCAACAUUUCCUAUGUUACUGCUGUCUAGAAGAUACAUUGUAACAAACUGGCAUGUUGACAAAUCAAUUAGGACCAUCUGAUGUUCAGGUUGCUAGAAGUUGCUUUAAAAGUCUCCUGUACUAAAUCAUUGUCUUAUAUGAAUUUCUUCUCAUUUUAUGAAAGUUCCUUGCACGAUUAUCUUCUUGAUAAUAUAUCCUGUUCAAUUUUUUAAUCCAGGAAGGGCUUCUAGUUUGGCUGCUUCUGGAGUCUUGGAAUUGCUGCUGUUGUUUUGGAAUCAUUUCGGUAAAAAUCAAAGACAUGUAAAGUUACAGAUAGUUUGUUAAGUAUUUGAGUCGUCCAUAUCUAUAUGAUUUCUUUUCAUAAACCCAAAAGAGAAUGAAGAGAAUGAAGAGAACAAACAUUCCAAAGCGCUACGUGAUUGUCAUUUUGACCUUCAUCUGUACUUCUGUCUGCUACAUAGAACGUGUGGGUUUUUCCAUUGCAUAUACUGCUGCUGCUGAUGCCUCAGGAGUAAAUCAAUCGAGCAAGGGCAUGAUACUUUCGACAUUCUAUUAUGGGUAUGUGUGUUCACAAGUUCCGGGUGGUUGGGCGGCCCAGAAAAUUGGGGGAAGGCGUAUUCUCUUACUUUCAUUUGUUUUAUGGUCUAUAACUUGUGCUUUUAUGCCACUUGAUCUGAACCGAGUUACGAUAUUGGUCAUAUCCCGCUUGCUUGUCGGAGUUGCCCAAGGCUUCAUCUUUCCCUCCAUUCACACUAUACUGGCACAAUGGGUACCACCACAUGAAAGAUCAAGAUCCGUUUCUCUGACAACUUCGGGGAUGUAUUUUGGUGCAGCCGCAGGAAUGCUUGUGCUUCCUAGCCUGGUCAAGUUUCGAGGUCCGCAAUCGGUAUUUCUUGCUGAAGCUGCUUUAGGUUCCAUUUGGUCUCUACUUUGGUUUAAGUAUGCCGUUGACCCACCUCGUUCUGAGCAUCCAAAAGCCACUGCUGCUGGAUUUGGAGAAUUAUUGCUGCCAAUUAAAGGGAACCAAAAGACGAAAGUUGAGAAUGGAGGACAUUCCAACAGAACCCCAAAAAUUCCAUGGAAGAAAAUUAUUUUCAGUUUGCCAGUUUGGGCAAUUGUGGUGAAUAAUUUCACUUUCCAUUAUGCUCUUUACGUUCUCAUGAACUGGCUCCCAACAUACUUUGAAUUGGGCCUUCAGCUUAGUCUUGAAAACAUGGGAUCUUCUAAGAUGAUGCCUUAUUUCAACAUGUUUCUGUUCUCAAAUAUCGGUGGGGUGAUUGCUGAUCACUUGAUUACCAGGAAAGUCUUGUCUGUGACUAGAACAAGAAAGCUUUUAAAUACCAUAGGAUUUGUGGUGGCUUCUUUUGCAUUAAUGGCUCUUCCCAGGUUCAGAACACCUGAUGGAGUUGUGUUUUGUUCUUCUGUGGCUCUUGGUUUCUUGGCACUGGGGAGAGCUGGAUUUGCAGUAAAUCACAUGGAUAUUGCUCCAAGGUAUGCUGGAAUUGUAAUGGGGGUUUCUAACACAGCUGGUACUUUAGCUGGCAUAGUUGGGGUUGAUCUUACUGGUCGACUUCUUGAAGCCGCUAAAUCUGCUCAGUUGGAUCUCACUAGUCCAGAUAGCUGGAGAGCAGUUUUUCUCAUCCCAGGGUCACUUUGUAUCUUGAGUUCAAUUUUGUUUCUUCUAUUCUCCACUGGGGAGAGAAUUUUUGACUGACUCGGGUUGUCUUACCUGCAAAUCAUGCCUUAUUUAUGUUGCUCUUCAGUAGAAAACAAGUUAUACUUGCACGUAGAGGUAUUGCUCUCUUUGUCAUCAGCUUCUUCUGAUAUAUUCGAAACAUAUUCUAAGCAUUCCUUCUGAUGCAUUCAAUAUAUUGGAAAUCCAAGUUUUUGUGUAAUUAUUCGUACGGCUUAUCUUGGUGGUUAACUCAAUUGUAAGCUAUAAAGCCAACAGGGACGAAGUAUAAUUUGAAGGACCAGAAAGAAUAAUUUGAAGGACCAGAAAGAAGUGUCACAAUUAGUAUAGAGGCAUUUUUAGAAAUCUCAAUUCAGUCCACAAAUUCCUCUGGUUUCUCGCAUUUCUUUUGGUGGACCAUAAAAAAAGAGAAAAACCAAUUUUCUUCAUUUUUGACCUUCCAAACACAUAUAUGUAGAAUUCAAUGUUCUCAUGCAUCCCACAAUUCUUCUACCUCAAGAAUUGACUCUUUUUGUCUCAAAUACCACAAAUAAUCUCUUUCCCUCAAGCCAAAAAUGGAGGACGAGCACGAGAUGUCGAGUUUGAGGUUGAGGCUCAAGAAAUCCUCUAUGAGCCUUACCUCUUGCUUCAAUGGAUCCCAACACCGCCGUGGAUUCUCAUUAGAUGCCUCUUCAUCUUCCUCUUCCAUGCCAAGUCCAAGAAGGUUGUCAUCUAUAUGGAUUUGCUCAAAGCCUAAUGACCAUAUGGACAUCAAAGGGAAAUGCAAGCGCCGCCAUAGGCGCCAUGCAUCUGCUGAUUUUAGCUACGAUCCUCUCAGUUAUGCCCUCAACUUUGACGAUUCUAACCAAGUUGUCAAUGGGGACGAGGAACUUCCGAUAAGGAAUUUCUCAGCCAAGUUACCGGCAUCACCGCUGAGGGCAUCCAAAAUGUUGUUGGCACCCACAACGCCAAGGUCACCAACGGAGACAUGCAGAUUGAGUAAGAGCCUUGAGGUGUCUAAUAUGAAGAAGAGAACAGACGAGGUGGCUGAUGCCAGGGCAGCAGCGGUGGCGGAGGUGAGGAGGAGCCUGGAGGAGCAGUCUUCGCAGGUGGCGGUCUCACAUUCUUCUCGGGAGAUCUUGGUUGAAUUAUGUUAGCGAGAUUUGGUGGCCUUUCGAUCGUAAAUGGUUGUGUUCAAUUUCUUUGAAUAUUAAUUCUUUGUUUUCCAGAAUCAAACAGCAAGGGUGAACCUAUUUUCAUGUAAAUUAUUAAUUAAAUAUGUUUGAUUGAUUUAAUUUUCAACCUAGAUAAUAUUAU